CCUACGGGAGGCAGCAGUGAGGAAUAUUGGUCAAUGGGCGGGAGCCUGAACCAGCCAAGUCGCGUGAGGGAAGACGGUCCUACGGAUUGUAAACCUCUUUUGCCGGGGAGCAACGGGGUCCUUGCGAGGGCCCGAUGAGAGUACCCGGAGAAAAAGCAUCGGCUAACUCCGUGCCAGCAGCCGCGGUAAUACGGAAGGUCCGGGCGUUAUCCGGAUUUAUUGGGUUUAAAGGGAGCGUAGGCCGGUCUUUAAGCGUGCCGUGAAAUUUUGUGGCUCAACCAUGAGAGUGCGGCGCGAACUGGAGACCUUGAGUGCGCGGAAGGCAGGCGGAAUUCGUGGUGUAGCGGUGAAAUGCUUAGAUAUCACGAAGAACCCCGAUUGCGAAGGCAGCCUGCCGCAGCGUUACUGACGCUGAAGCUCGAAAGCGCGGGUAUCGAACAGGAUUAGAUACCCUAGUAGUC
RNAcentral lists this ribosomal RNA (461 nucleotides) under uncultured bacterium. RNAcentral's name for it is "partial 16S ribosomal RNA". It matches the Rfam family "Bacterial small subunit ribosomal RNA", at positions 338 to 795 of the family's 1533-position model. The record is from RNAcentral.